This 571-nucleotide ribosomal RNA is filed under the name Veillonella seminalis. Its description in RNAcentral is "bacterial SSU rRNA". It matches the Rfam family "Bacterial small subunit ribosomal RNA", at positions 972 to 1533 of the family's 1533-position model. The record is from RNAcentral. Lineage: Bacteria; Bacillati; Bacillota; Negativicutes; Veillonellales; Veillonellaceae.
UACCAGGUCUUGACAUUGAUGGACGAAACAAGAGAUUGUUUUUCUCCUUCGGGAGCCAGAAAACAGGUGGUGCACGGCUGUCGUCAGCUCGUGUCGUGAGAUGUUGGGUUAAGUCCCGCAACGAGCGCAACCCCUAUCUUAUGUUGCCAGCACUUCGGGUGGGAACUCAUGAGAGACUGCCGCAGACAAUGCGGAGGAAGGCGGGGAUGACGUCAAGUCAUCAUGCCCCUUAUGACCUGGGCUACACACGUACUACAAUGGGCUUUAAUAGAGGGAAGCGAAACCGCGAGGUGGAGCAAACCCCAGAAACAAGCUCUCAGUUCGGAUCGUAGGCUGCAACUCGCCUACGUGAAGUCGGAAUCGCUAGUAAUCGCAGGUCAGCAUACUGCGGUGAAUACGUUCCCGGGCCUUGUACACACCGCCCGUCACACCACGAAAGUCGGAAGUACCCAAAGCCGGUGGGGUAACCUUCGGGAGCCAGCCGUCUAAGGUAAAGUCGAUGAUUGGGGUGAAGUCGUAACAAGGUAGCCGUAUCGGAAGGUGCGGCUGGAUCACCUCCUUUCUAGGGAGA